This 325-nucleotide ribosomal RNA is filed under the name Limnofilidae sp. RNAcentral's name for it is "SSU rRNA". The stretch from base 112 to 325 matches the Rfam family "Eukaryotic small subunit ribosomal RNA", at positions 741 to 955 of the family's 1831-position model. Lineage: Eukaryota; Cercozoa; Limnofilidae. The record is from RNAcentral.
GAUUUCUGGCGUGGUGCGCCGAGCCCGCUUCCUUUUGGGAGUGAGUGCUUGUUGUGCGCCUGCCAUCCUUCGGGAGUGCUUCCCGUGCCGCAAGGUGCGGGGUCAAAGGCGCUUCCGAUCGUUUACUUUGAAAAAAUUAGAGUGUUCAAAGCAGGCUAGACGCUGUGAAUACAUUAGCAUGGAAUAAUAAGAUAGGACUUGGGUUCUAUUUUGUUGGUUUCUAGGACUUAAGUAAUGAUUGAUAGGGACAGUUGGGGGUGCUAGUAUUUGACGGCCAGAGGUGAAAUUCUUGGAUUCGUUAAAGACUAACUAAUGCGAAAGCAUU